Molecule: ribosomal RNA, 500 nt
Filed under: uncultured bacterium
Lineage: Bacteria
Description: partial 16S ribosomal RNA
Rfam family: Bacterial small subunit ribosomal RNA
Source: RNAcentral
AUUGAACGCUGGCGGAAUGCUUUACACAUGCAAGUCGAACGGCAGCACGGACUUCGGUCUGGUGGCGAGUGGCGAACGGGUGAGUAAUAUAUCGGAACGUGCCCAGUCGUGGGGGAUAACGUAGCGAAAGCUACGCUAAUACCGCAUACGAUCUACGGAUGAAAGCGGGGGAUCGCAAGACCUCGCGCGAUUGGAGCGGCCGAUAUCAGAUUAGGUAGUUGGUGAGGUAAAGGCUCACCAAGCCGACGAUCUGUAGCUGGUCUGAGAGGACGAACAGCCUCACUGGGACUGAGACACGGCCCAGACUCCUACGGGAGGCAGCAGUGGGGAAUUUUGGACAAUGGACGCAAGUCUGAUCCAGCCAUUCCGCGUGCAGGACGAAGGCCUUCGGGUUGUAAACUGCUUUUGUACAGAACGAAAAGGUCUCUAUUAAUACUAGGGGCUCAUGACGGUACUGUAAGAAUAAGCACCGGCUAACUACGUGCCAGCCGCCGCCGUAA